This 299-nucleotide long non-coding RNA is filed under the name Elaeis guineensis (African oil palm). RNAcentral describes it as "long non-coding RNA (EGUI_LNC076767)". The record is from RNAcentral. Lineage: Eukaryota; Viridiplantae; Streptophyta; Magnoliopsida; Arecales; Arecaceae.
UACAAGUAUCCACUCAGGAUUAGUCUGAAAUAGUUCUCUAUAAUCUAAAUUUUGGUUCUCUCAAAAUUCAGCCUAUUGAAUCUGAACGAAGUUUGGAUCGCGAUCAACGCUUGAUUUUUCUCCUCGAUCUUCUUCUUCUCCUCUUCUCUAGAGUUUUUCCUUGCUUUGUGCUGCUACAAAACACCAGCAACCAGUAACUUAUGGGACGCCCAACACCUUGGGCGUGGAACUCCUUGAGACUCUCAUCUCAAAGGAUGGGCGUGUAGAACGCCCAAGAGAAAAGAAAGGGAGAGGAAGAG